CUACGGGUCGCAGCAGUAAGGAAUAUUGCGCAAUGGAGGCAACUCUGACGCAGCCAUGCCGCGUGCAGGAAGAAGGCCUUAUGGGUCGUAAACUGCUUUUAUUUAGGAAUAAACCCCCGAACGUGUUCGGGGCUGAAGGUACUAAACGAAUAAGCACCGGCUAACUCCGUGCCGAGCAGCCGCGGUAAUACGGAGGGUGCAAGCGUUAUCCGGAUUUAUUGGGUUUAAAGGGUGCGCAGGCGGGCUAUUAAGUCAGUGGUGAAAUCCCGGGGCUCAACUCCGGAACUGCCAUUGAUACUGAUAGUCUUGAGUUUGGUUGAAGUGGGCGGAAUGUAGCAUGUAGCGGUGAAAUGCAUAGAUAUGCUACAGAACACCAAUCGCGAAGGCAGCUCACUAAGCCAAAACUGACGCUCAUGCACGAAAGCGUGGGGAUCAAACAGGAUUAGAUACCCGAGUAGUC
RNAcentral lists this ribosomal RNA (460 nucleotides) under uncultured bacterium. RNAcentral describes it as "partial 16S ribosomal RNA". It matches the Rfam family "Bacterial small subunit ribosomal RNA", at positions 339 to 795 of the family's 1533-position model. The record is from RNAcentral.